AAGCAACAGUGUUGGGUGGAGGAGGUGACGGAUUUUAAAAAUUCACCAAAACAUUGUACAGCACAUGAAGGAAGGAUGAAACUUCAAGAGAUAACGGACAGGUGGAGGGGUCUAAACCAGGAGGCACAAGAGAUUCUGCAAAUGCUGAAAAUCC
Long non-coding RNA from Mobula hypostoma (lesser devil ray), 154 nucleotides. RefSeq lists it as uncharacterized. The transcript has 3 exons. The record is from RefSeq and is a predicted model, not a curated record. Lineage: Eukaryota; Metazoa; Chordata; Chondrichthyes; Myliobatiformes; Myliobatidae.